Molecule: ribosomal RNA, 1161 nt
Filed under: Tolypothrix sp. HA4964-CV2
Lineage: Bacteria; Bacillati; Cyanobacteriota; Cyanophyceae; Nostocales; Tolypothrichaceae
Description: bacterial SSU rRNA
Rfam family: Bacterial small subunit ribosomal RNA
Source: RNAcentral
GGGGAAUUUUCCGCAAUGGGCGAAAGCCUGACGGAGCAAUACCGCGUGAGGGAGGAAGGCUCUUGGGUUGUAAACCUCUUUUCUCAGGGAAGAAAAAAAUGACGGUACCUGAGGAAUAAGCAUCGGCUAACUCCGUGCCAGCAGCCGCGGUAAUACGGAGGAUGCAAGCGUUAUCCGGAAUGAUUGGGCGUAAAGCGUCCGCAGGUGGCUGUGUAAGUCUGCUGUUAAAUAGUGAGGCUCAACCUCAUAAAGGCAGUGGAAACUACACGGCUAGAGUGCGUUCGGGGCAGAGGGAAUUCCUGGUGUAGCGGUGAAAUGCGUAGAGAUCAGGAAGAACACCGGUGGCGAAAGCGCUCUGCUAGGCCGCAACUGACACUGAGGGACGAAAGCUAGGGGAGCGAAUGGGAUUAGAUACCCCAGUAGUCCUAGCCGUAAACGAUGGAUACUAGGCGUGGCUUGUAUCGACCCGAGCCGUGCCGUAGCUAACGCGUUAAGUAUCCCGCCUGGGGAGUACGCAGGCAACUGUGAAACUCAAAGGAAUUGACGGGGGCCCGCACAAGCGGUGGAGUAUGUGGUUUAAUUCGAUGCAACGCGAAGAACCUUACCAGGACUUGACAUGUCGCGAAUCUGGGCGAAAGCUCGGAGUGCCUUCGGGAGCGCGAACACAGGUGGUGCAUGGCUGUCGUCAGCUCGUGUCGUGAGAUGUUGGGUUAAGUCCCGCAACGAGCGCAACCCUCGUUUUUAGUUGCCAUCAUUAAGUUGGGCACUCUAGAGAGACUGCCGGUGACAAACCGGAGGAAGGUGGGGAUGACGUCAAGUCAGCAUGCCCCUUACGUUCUGGGCUACACACGUACUACAAUGCUACGGACAAAGGGCAGCUACACAGCGAUGUGAUGCUAAUCUCAUAAACCGUAGCUCAGUUCAGAUCGCAGGCUGCAACUCGCCUGCGUGAAGGAGGAAUCGCUAGUAAUUGCAGGUCAGCAUACUGCAGUGAAUUCGUUCCCGGGCCUUGUACACACCGCCCGUCACACCAUGGAAGCUGGUAGUGCCCGAAGUCAUUACCCCAACCUUAGGGAGGGGGAUGCCUAAGGCAGGACUGGUGACUGGGGUGAAGUCGUAACAAGGUAGCCGUACCGGAAGGUGUGGCUGGAUCACCUCCUU